Molecule: ribosomal RNA, 98 nt
Filed under: Esox lucius (northern pike)
Lineage: Eukaryota; Metazoa; Chordata; Actinopteri; Esociformes; Esocidae
Source: RNAcentral
UAAGGCCGAAUUUGGGCCGAUUUUGGGAGGUAAACAAGGGUGGGCCCGGUUAGUAAUUGGAUGGGAGACCCACAAGGAAUACCAGGGGCUGUUAAGCU